AGGAAAGGAAAAGUAGCAAGAGGCCUGUCAAUCUUCCUCUUGCUACUUUUCCUUCCCUUGC
Molecule: microRNA precursor, 61 nt
Filed under: Monodelphis domestica (gray short-tailed opossum)
Lineage: Eukaryota; Metazoa; Chordata; Mammalia; Didelphimorphia; Didelphidae
Description: microRNA mdo-mir-12373 precursor
Source: miRBase by way of RNAcentral